This 2239-nucleotide ribosomal RNA is filed under the name Brevibacillus laterosporus. RNAcentral's name for it is "bacterial LSU rRNA". It matches the Rfam family "Bacterial large subunit ribosomal RNA", at positions 1 to 2231 of the family's 2925-position model. The record is from RNAcentral. Lineage: Bacteria; Bacillati; Bacillota; Bacilli; Caryophanales; Paenibacillaceae.
UGUGGUUAAGUUAAUAAGGGCACACGGUGGAUGCCUUGGCGUUAGGAGCCGAAGAAGGACGCAGCGAACUGCGAUAAGCCUCGGGGAGUGGUAAGCACACUUUGAUCCGGGGAUUUCCGAAUGGGGGAACCCACCAUCUGUAAUGGGAUGGUAUCCUUCACUGAAUACAUAGGUGAUGAGAGGGCAGACCCGGUGAACUGAAACAUCUAAGUAGCCGGAGGAAGAGAAAACAAUAGUGAUUCCGUCAGUAGUGGCGAGCGAACGCGGAAGAGCCUAAACCGUAGGAUUUAUCCUACGGGGUUGUGGGGCGUUUCAUAUAGGAGUUACAAAAGACAGAUGUAGGUGAACAGUUUGGGAAGACUGACCAAAGAGCGUGAUAGUCGCGUAACCCAAACAUCUGUCUCUCCGAGACCAACCCCGAGUAGCGCGGGACACGUGAAAUCCCGUGUGAAUCUGGCAGGACCAUCUGCUAAGGCUAAAUACUACCUAACGACCGAUAGUGAACCAGUACCGUGAGGGAAAGGUGAAAAGCACCCCGGGAGGGGAGUGAAAUAGUACCUGAAACCGUGUGCUUACAAAUAGUCGGAGCACUUUCUAUGUGUGACGGCGUGCCUUUUGUAGAAUGAACCGGCGAGUUACGAUAGCGUGCGAGGUUAAGUCGAAGAGACGGAGCCGUAGCGAAAGCGAGUCUGAAUAGGGCGAAAGUACGUUGUCGUAGACCCGAAACCGUGUGAUCUAGCCAUGUCCAGGGUGAAGGUAGGGUAACACCUACUGGAGGCCCGAACCCACGCACGUUGAAAAGUGCGGGGAUGAGGUGUGGCUAGCGGUGAAAUUCCAAUCGAACUCGGAGAUAGCUGGUUCUCCCCGAAAUAGCUUUAGGGCUAGCCUCGGAAUAAAGAGUCUUGGAGGUAGAGCACUGAUUGGACUAGGGGCCCUCAUCGGGUUACCGAAUUCAGUCAAACUCCGAAUGCCAAGUACUUAUGUCCGGGAGUCAGACGGUGAGUGCUAAGAUCCAUCGUCAAAAGGGAAACAGCCCAGACCAUCAGCUAAGGCCCCCAAGUGUAUGUUAAGUGGGAAACGAUGUGGAGUUGCCCAGACAACCAGGAUGUUGGCUUAGAAGCAGCCACCAUUUAAAGAGUGCGUAAUAGCUCACUGGUCGAGUGACUCUGCGCGGAAAAUGUAACGGGGCUAAACAUACCGCCGAAGCUAUGGCAGUCCUUAUGGACUGGGUAGGGGAGCGUUCCAAGCAGCAGUGAAGCCGUAUCGUGAGGAGCGGUGGAGCGCUUGGAAGUGAGAAUGCCGGUGUAAGUAGCGAAAAGACAAGUGAGAAUCUUGUCCACCGAAAGCCUAAGGUUUCCUGGGGAAGGCUCGUCCUCCCAGGGUUAGUCGGGACCUAAGCUGAGGCCGAAAGGCGUAGGCGAUGGACAACUGGUUGAUAUUCCAGUACCACCUCUGUUCCGCUUGAGCAAUGGCGUGACGCAGGAGGAUAGGGUGAGCGGCCUAUUGGAUGGCCGUCUAAGCAGUAAGUGUGGUGUGUAGGCAAAUCCGCACACCAAUAAGCACAAGCUGUGAUGGCGAGGGAAAUUUAAGUACCGAAGUCCCUGAUUUCACACUGCCAAGAAAAGCGUCUAGCGAGGAACAAGGUGCCCGUACCGCAAACCGACACAGGUAGGCGAGGAGAGAAUCCUAAGGUGCGCGGGAUAACUCUUGCUAAGGAACUCGGCAAAAUGGCCCCGUAACUUCGGGAGAAGGGGCGCCUCGGUAGGGUUUAUAGCCCGAGGAGGCCGCAGUGAAAAGGCCCAAGCGACUGUUUAGCAAAAACACAGGUCUCUGCGAAGCCGCAAGGCGAAGUAUAGGGGCUGACGCCUGCCCGGUGCUGGAAGGUUAAGGGGAUGAGUUAGCGCAAGCGAAGCUUUGAACCGAAGCCCCAGUAAACGGCGGCCGUAACUAUAACGGUCCUAAGGUAGCGAAAUUCCUUGUCGGGUAAGUUCCGACCCGCACGAAAGGCGUAACGACUUGGGCGCUGUCUCGGCAAGAGACCCGGUGAAAUCAUAAUACCUGUGAAGAUGCAGGUUACCCGCGACAAGACGGAAAGACCCCAUGGAGCUUUACUGUAGCCUGGUAUUGAAACUUUGUGCAUCAUGUACAGAAUAGGUGGGAAGCUGUGAAGCGAGGGCGCCAGCCUUCGUGGAGCUGUCGUUGGGAUACCACCCUUGAUGUACGGAGUUUCUAACUUGCC